UACGUAGGGCGCAAGCGUUAUCCGGAUUCAUUGGGCGUAAAGAGCUCGUAGGCGGCUAUUCAAGUCGAACGUGAAAUCUCGGAGCUCAACUCCGAGCCUGCGUUCGAUACUGGGUAGCUAGAGUCUGGUAGGGGGAUCUGGAAUUCCUGGUGUAGCGGUGGAAUGCGCAGAUAUCAGGAGGAACACCGGUGGCGAAGGCGGAAUCCUGGGCCAGUACUGACGCUGAGGAGCGAAAGCGUGGGGAGCAA
RNAcentral lists this ribosomal RNA (248 nucleotides) under uncultured bacterium. RNAcentral describes it as "partial 16S ribosomal RNA". It matches the Rfam family "Bacterial small subunit ribosomal RNA", at positions 524 to 771 of the family's 1533-position model. The record is from RNAcentral.